RNAcentral lists this ribosomal RNA (253 nucleotides) under uncultured prokaryote. RNAcentral's name for it is "partial 16S ribosomal RNA". It matches the Rfam family "Bacterial small subunit ribosomal RNA", at positions 524 to 776 of the family's 1533-position model. The record is from RNAcentral.
UACGUAGGGUGCGAGCGUUAAUCGGAAUUACUGGGCGUAAAGCGUGCGCAGGCGGGCUUUUAAGCCAGACGUGAAAUCCCCGGGCUUAACCUGGGAAUGGCGUUUGGGACUGGAAGUCUGGAGUGCGGCAGAGGAGACUGGAAUUCCUGGUGUAGCAGUGAAAUGCGUAGAUAUCAGGAGGAACACCGAUGGCGAAGGCAGGUCUCUGGACAGCUUCUGACGCUGAGGCACGAAGGCCAGGGGAGCAAACGGG